GGGAAAGAGCUUGCUCUUUCUGGAACUGAGUGGCAAACGGGUGAGUAACACGUAAACAACCUGCCUUCAGGAUGGGGACAACAGACGGAAACGACUGCUAAUACCGAAUAAGUUCCAAGAGCCGCAUGGCCCAUGGAAGAAAAGGUGGCCUCUACCUGUAAGCUAUCGCCUGAAGAGGGGUUUGCGUCUGAUUAGCUGGUUGGAGGGGUAACGUCCCACCAAGGCGACGAUACAGUAGCCGGUCUGAGAGGAUGAACGGCCACACUGGAACUGAGACACGGUCCAGACUCCUACGGGAGGCAGCAGUGGGGAAUCUUCCGCAAUGGGCGAAAGCCUGACGGAGCAAACGCCGCGUGAGUGAUGACGGGCCUUUCGGGGUUGUAAAAACUCUGUGAUUCCC
RNAcentral lists this ribosomal RNA (400 nucleotides) under Dialister invisus. RNAcentral describes it as "bacterial SSU rRNA". It matches the Rfam family "Bacterial small subunit ribosomal RNA", at positions 70 to 443 of the family's 1533-position model. The record is from RNAcentral. Lineage: Bacteria; Bacillati; Bacillota; Negativicutes; Veillonellales; Veillonellaceae.